GACGAACGCUGGCGGCGUGCUUAACACAUGCAAGUCGAACGGAAAGGCCCUGCUUUUGUGGGGUGCUCGAGUGGCGAACGGGUGAGUAACACGUGAGUAACCUGCCCUUGACUUUGGGAUAACUUCAGGAAACUGGGGCUAAUACCGGAUAGGAGCUCCUGCUGCAUGGUGGGGGUUGGAAAGUUUCGGCGGUUGGGGAUGGACUCGCGGCUCAUCAGCUUGUUGGUGGGGUAGUGGCUUACCAAGGCUUUGACGGGUAGCCGGCCUGAGAGGGUGACCGGCCACAUUGGGACUGAGAUACGGCCCAGACUCCUACGGGAGGCAGCAGUGGGGAAUAUUGCACAAUGGGCGGAAGCCUGAUGCAGCAACGCCGCGUGCGGGAUGACGGCCUUCGGGUUGUAAACCGCUUUCGCCUGUGACGAAGCGUGAGUGACGGUAAUGGGUAAAGAAGCACCGGCUAACUACGU
This 467-nucleotide ribosomal RNA is filed under the name uncultured bacterium. Its description in RNAcentral is "partial 16S ribosomal RNA". It matches the Rfam family "Bacterial small subunit ribosomal RNA", at positions 28 to 506 of the family's 1533-position model. The record is from RNAcentral.